CUUUACUAUAGCCUGGAAUUGUGUUCGGGCUUUUCUUGCGCAGCCUAGGUGGGAGGCUAUGAAGAUUUCCUUCCGGGGAAGUUGGAGCCAUCAGUGAGAGACCACUCUGGAGAGGCUAGAAUCCUAAUGGUGAUCCUUGAAUCAGGACACUUGACAGUUUCAGGUGGGCAGUUUUUCUGGGGCGGAAGCCUCAUAAAGGGUAACUGAGGCGCGCAAAGGUCCCCUCAGUCUGGACGGAAAUCAGACAGCGAGUGUAAAGGCAAAAGGGGGCUUGACUGCAAGACCUACAAGUCGAGCAGGAGCGAAAGCUGGCCUUAGUGAUCCGACGGUACCGUGUGGAAGGGCCGUCGCUCAACGAAUAAAAGUUA
RNAcentral lists this ribosomal RNA (368 nucleotides) under uncultured organism. Its description in RNAcentral is "bacterial LSU rRNA". It matches the Rfam family "Bacterial large subunit ribosomal RNA", at positions 2099 to 2465 of the family's 2925-position model. The record is from RNAcentral.